AGAGGUUGAUCAUGGCUCAGAUUGAACGCUGGCGGCAUGCCUUACACAUGCAAGUCGAACGGCCACGGAGCAAUCCGUGGCGAGUGGCGAACGGGUGGGUAAUACAUCGGAACGUGCCCAGUAGUGGGGGAUAGCUCGGCGAAAGCCGGAUUAAUACCGCAUACGACCUACGGGUGAAAGCGGCAACGCGCUAUUGGAGCGGCCGAUGUCAGAUUAGCUAGUUGGUAGGGUAAAAGCCUACCAAGGCGACGAUCUGUAGCUGGUCUGAGAGGACGACCAGCCACACUGGGACUGAGACACGGCCCAGACUCCUACGGGAGGCAGCAGUGGGGAAUUUUGGACAAUGGGGGCAACCCUGAUCCAGCCAUGCCGCGUGCGGGAAGAAGGCCUUCGGGUUGUAAACCGCUUUUGUCAGGGAAGAUAAUGACGGUACCUGAAGAAUAAGCACCGGCUAACUACGUGCCAGCAGCCGCGGUAAUACGUAGGGUGCAAGCGUUAAUCGGAAUUACUGGGCGUAAAGCGUGCGCAGGUGGCUUUGCAAGACAGAUGUGAAAUCCCCGGGCUUAACCUGGGAACUGCAUUUGUGACUGCAUGGCUAGAGUGCGGCAGAGGGGGAUGGAAUUCCGCGUGUAGCAGUGAAAUGCGUAGAUAUGCGGAGGAGCACCGAUGGCGAAGGCAAUCCCCUGGGCCUGCACUGACACUCAUGCACGAAAGCGUGGGGAGCAAACAGGAUUAGAUACCCUGNUAGUCCACGCCCUAAACGAUGUCAACUGGUUGUUGGACGGCUUGUGUUCAGUAACGAAGCUAACGCGUGAAGUUGACCGCCUGGGGAGUACGGCCGCAAGGUUGAA
Molecule: ribosomal RNA, 851 nt
Filed under: uncultured bacterium
Lineage: Bacteria
Description: bacterial SSU rRNA
Rfam family: Bacterial small subunit ribosomal RNA
Source: RNAcentral